AACGCGAAGAACCUUACCAGCGUUUGACAUGCCAGGACGGUUUCCAGAGAUGGAUUCCUUCCCUUACGGGACCUGGACACAGGUGCUGCAUGGCUGUCGUCAGCUCGUGUCGUGAGAUGUUGGGUUAAGUCCCGCAACGAGCGCAACCCUCGUCUUUAGUUGCCACCAUUUAGUUGGGCACUCUAAAGAAACUGCCGGUGAUAAGCCGGAGGAAGGUGGGGAUGACGUCAAGUCCUCAUGGCCCUUACGCGCUGGGCUACACACGUGCUACAAUGGCGGUGACAACGGGCAGCAAACUCGCGAGAGUGAGCAAAUCCCAAAAAGCCGUCUCAGUUCGGAUUGUUCUCUGCAACUCGAGAGCAUGAAGGCGGAAUCGCUAGUAAUCGCGGAUCAGCACGCCGCGGUGAAUACGUUCCCAGGCCUUGUACACACCGACGCGUA
Molecule: ribosomal RNA, 441 nt
Filed under: uncultured bacterium
Lineage: Bacteria
Description: bacterial SSU rRNA
Rfam family: Bacterial small subunit ribosomal RNA
Source: RNAcentral